This 909-nucleotide ribosomal RNA is filed under the name Triticum aestivum (bread wheat). RNAcentral's name for it is "partial small subunit ribosomal RNA". Lineage: Eukaryota; Viridiplantae; Streptophyta; Magnoliopsida; Poales; Poaceae. The record is from RNAcentral.
AUGAAGACCUUUCUCAUCUUUUCCCUCCUUGCUAUCGUGGCGACCACUGCAACAACUGCAGUUAGAGUUCCAGUGCCACAAUUGCAGCCGCAAAAUCCAUCUCAGCAACAACCACAAGAGCAAGUUCCGUUGGUGCAACAACAACAAUAUCCAGGGCAGCAACAACCAUUUCCACCACAACAACCAUAUCCGCAGCCGCAACCAUUUCCAUCACAACAACCAUUUCUGCAGCCGCAACCAUUUCUGCUACAACUACCAUAUCCGCAGCCACAACCAUUUCCACCACAACAACCAUAUCCACAACCGCAACCACAGUAUCCGCAACCACAACAACCAAUUUCACAGCAACAAGCGCAACAAGCACAACAACAACAACAACAACAACAACAACAAUAACAAUAACAACAACAACAAAUCCUUCAACAAAUUCUGCAACAACAACAACUGAUUCCAUGCAGGGAUGUCGUCUUGCAACAACACAACAUAGCGCAUGCAAGCUCACAAGUAUUGCAACAAAGUAGUUACCAACUGUUGCAACAAUUAUGUUGUCAACGGUUGUGGCAGAUCCCCGAGCAGUCGCGGUGCCAAGCCAUCCACAAUGUCGUUCAUGCUAUUAUUCUGCAACAACAACAACAACAACAACAACAACAACAACAACAACAACAACAACAACCGUCGAGCCAGGUCUCCUACCAGCAGCCUCAGCAACAAUAUCCAUCGGGCCAGGGCUCCUUCCAGCCAUCUCAGCAGAACCCAUAGGCCCAGGGCUCUGUCCAGUCUCAACAACUUCCCCAGUUCGAGGAAAUAAGGAACCUAGUGCUGCAGACGCUACCGGCAAUGUGCAAUGUCUACAUCCCUCCAUAUUGCUCGACCACCAUUGCGCCAUCUGGCAUCUUCGGUACUAACUGA